AUGAACGCUGGCAGUGUGCCUUAGACAUGCAAGUCGAACGGGGAGCCUAGUUAGCUUGCUAACACGGCUUCUAGUGGCGAACGGGUGAGUAACACGUGAGUGACCUACCCCGAAGUGGGGCAUAACAGAGGGAAACUUCUGCUAAAUUCCCCAUGGUCUCAUAGCUCUGGUGUCUAUGAGUAAAGAUUUAUCGCUUCGGGAUGGGCUCGCGGCCCAUCAGCUAGUUGGUAGGGUAAUGGCCUACCAAGGCGACGACGGGUAGCCG
This 265-nucleotide ribosomal RNA is filed under the name uncultured bacterium. RNAcentral's name for it is "partial 16S ribosomal RNA". It matches the Rfam family "Bacterial small subunit ribosomal RNA", at positions 29 to 289 of the family's 1533-position model. The record is from RNAcentral.